Molecule: transfer RNA, 73 nt
Filed under: Bos taurus (domestic cattle)
Lineage: Eukaryota; Metazoa; Chordata; Mammalia; Artiodactyla; Bovidae
Also listed under: 2 other names
Rfam family: tRNA
About the family: Transfer RNA (tRNA) molecules are approximately 80 nucleotides in length.
Source: Rfam by way of RNAcentral
UCCCUGGUGAUCCAGUGGCUAGGACUCUGUGCUUCUGAUGCAGGGGAUCUGGGUUUGAUCCCUGGUCAGGGAA